This 492-nucleotide ribosomal RNA is filed under the name Apiotrichum lignicola. RNAcentral's name for it is "eukaryotic LSU rRNA". It matches the Rfam family "Eukaryotic large subunit ribosomal RNA", at positions 62 to 562 of the family's 3401-position model. The record is from RNAcentral. Lineage: Eukaryota; Fungi; Basidiomycota; Tremellomycetes; Trichosporonales; Trichosporonaceae.
AAACUAACAAGGAUUCCCCUAGUAACGGCGAGUGAACCGGGAAGAGCUCAAAUUUGAAAUCUGGCAGUCUUCGAUUGUCCGAGUUGUAAUCUAUAGAAGCGUUUUCCGUGCUGAACUGUGUCUAAGUCCCUUGGAACAGGGUAUCAAAGAGGGUGACAAUCCCGUACUUGACACAAUCAUCAGUGCUCUGUGAUACGUUCUCUACGAGUCGUGUUGUUUGGGAAUGCAGCACAAAAUGGGUGGUAAAUUCCAUCUAAAGCUAAAUAUUGGCGAGAGACCGAUAGCGAACAAGUACCGUGAGGGAAAGAUGAAAAGCACUUUGGAAAGAGAGUUAAACAGUACGUGAAAUUGUUGAAAGGGAAACGAUUGAAGUCAGUCGUGUUCAUUGGAUUCAGCCGGUCUUCGGUGUACUUCCUUUGAACGGGUCAACAUCAGUUUUGUCCGGUGGAUAAAUGUAGUAGGAAAGUAGCUCCCUCGGGAGUGUUAUAGCCU